GCCUUCGUGGUGUAGCGGUUGCACGCUCGACUCGUAUUUUAGAGGUCUGUGGUUCGAGUCCCGGUAAGGGUA
This 72-nucleotide transfer RNA is filed under the name Stegodyphus mimosarum. It matches the Rfam family "tRNA". From Rfam's summary of the family: Transfer RNA (tRNA) molecules are approximately 80 nucleotides in length. Their secondary structure includes four short double-helical elements and three loops (D, anti-codon, and T loops). Further hydrogen bonds mediate the characteristic L-shaped molecular structure. tRNAs have two regions of fundamental functional importance: the anti-codon, which is responsible for specific mRNA codon recognition, and the 3' end, to which the tRNAs corresponding amino acid is attached (by aminoacyl-tRNA synthetases). tRNAs cope with the degeneracy of the genetic code in two manners: having more than one tRNA (with a specific anti-codon) for a particular amino acid; and 'wobble' base-pairing, i.e. permitting non-standard base-pairing at the 3rd anti-codon position. The record is from Rfam by way of RNAcentral. Lineage: Eukaryota; Metazoa; Arthropoda; Arachnida; Araneae; Eresidae.